UGACACAAAUUCUAACUAAAGGGCCCACAGUAAUUGGUGUAAACUGUUGUGGUGUCCCCGCCUCUUUUUAUGUCUCGUGUAUAUGAAUUGUUGUGCUUGUAUUGUGUACGUUUUUUGUCAAGGCGAAGCUAAAUAAAUAAAUAAAUAAAUAAAUAAAUUUUUUAUUGCCCUAUCUGAAAGAAUCGUCAAAACUGUAAAGCAACUUCUUUUGCACAUUUUUGUUUACGUGCUUCCUUGAUGGGAUAUUCAGUUUUCUUGAUAUGCAGUGCAAACAAAUUUACGUCACACUUUGCAUAAUGAGUUAUCGUUAAAUGUCAGGUUAUCGCGUAUAUAUAAGUGAUUAAAUCGUUUGAAAAUCCAUAUAUGCGUUAUACUGAGGACAAUGUAAAGCAUAUGCAAUUUUGCAAA
Molecule: non-coding RNA, 408 nt
Organism: Paramuricea clavata
Lineage: Eukaryota; Metazoa; Cnidaria; Anthozoa; Malacalcyonacea; Plexauridae
Source: the annotation of a GenBank genome assembly